AACGAACGCUGGCGGCAGGCCUAACACAUGCAAGUCGAGCGCCCCGCCAGGGGAGCGGCGGACGGGUGAGUAACGCGUGGGAAUAUGCCCUUUGCUACGGAAUAGUCUCGGGAAACUGGGGGUAAUACCGUAUACGCCCUUUGGGGGAAAGAUUUAUCGGCGAAGGAUUAGCCCGCGUUGGAUUAGGUAGUUGGUGGGGUAAUGGCCUACCAAGCCGACGAUCCAUAGCUGGUUUGAGAGGAUGAUCAGCCACACUGGGACUGAGACACGGCCCAGACUCCUACGGGAGGCAGCAGUGGGGAAUCUUAGACAAUGGGGGCAACCCUGAUCGAGCCAUGCCGCGUGAGUGAUGAAGGCCUUAGGGUUGUAAAGCUCUUUCAGCUGGGAAGAUAAUGACGGUACCAGCAGAAGAAGCCCCGGCUAACUCCGUG
RNAcentral lists this ribosomal RNA (431 nucleotides) under uncultured bacterium. RNAcentral describes it as "partial 16S ribosomal RNA". It matches the Rfam family "Bacterial small subunit ribosomal RNA", at positions 29 to 507 of the family's 1533-position model. The record is from RNAcentral.